This 208-nucleotide long non-coding RNA is filed under the name Carica papaya (papaya). RNAcentral describes it as "long non-coding RNA (CPAP_LNC005838)". The record is from RNAcentral. Lineage: Eukaryota; Viridiplantae; Streptophyta; Magnoliopsida; Brassicales; Caricaceae.
UCAAACCAUUUAGGGUCUGACUGUCGCUGUGGGUCACAACUAUGUCCAAUAAUGCUUACCAACCGCCUCCUACAAAUGACCAUCAUCUAGUUAAUCAAACCAUCUCCCAAAAUAUCUCAGAGUUUGGAAGACUGAACCCUCCUCACUUCAAUGGUGGACCUGACCAAAGCAUGGAUUAUGCAGAUCGAGAAACAUUUCUCCAUUUUAG